RNAcentral lists this ribosomal RNA (492 nucleotides) under uncultured bacterium. RNAcentral's name for it is "partial 16S ribosomal RNA". It matches the Rfam family "Bacterial small subunit ribosomal RNA", at positions 29 to 507 of the family's 1533-position model. The record is from RNAcentral.
AGUGAACGCUGGCGGUAGGCCUAACACAUGCAAGUCGAACGGCAGCACAGUAAGAGCUUGCUCUUACGGGUGGCGAGUGACGGACGGGUGAGGAAUACAUCGGAAUCUACUUUUUCGUGGGGGAUAACGUAGGGAAACUUACGCUAAUACCGCAUACGACCUACGGGUGAAAGCAGGGGAUCUUCGGACCUUGCGCGAUUGAAUGAGCCGAUGUCGGAUUAGCUAGUUGGCGGGGUAAAGGCCCACCAAGGCGACGAUCCGUAGCUGGUCUGAGAGGAUGAUCAGCCACACUGGAACUGAGACACGGUCCAGAGUCCUACGGGAGGCAGCAGUGGGGAAUAUUGGACAAUGGGCGCAAGCCUGAUCCAGCCAUACCGCGUGGGUGAAGAAGGCCUUCGGGUUGUAAAGCCCUUUUGUUGGGAAAGAAAAGCAGCAGGUUAAUACCCCGCUGUUCUGACGGUACCCAAAGAAUAAGCACCGGCUAACUUCGUG